Molecule: non-coding RNA, 125 nt
Filed under: uncultured Negativibacillus sp.
Lineage: Bacteria; Bacillati; Bacillota
Description: yjdF RNA
Rfam family: azaaromatic riboswitch aptamer (yjdF RNA)
Source: RNAcentral
GCAAAGAUAAAAACGCAACGUGAGGGCAGCGCCUUUGUUGUGCCUUUGCAGAGCCGGUAGGUAGCCCGGCCGCACCGAAAGGUGUAAGUAACCCUCCCUCCUUGGGUCGUCCGUUCUUUGUUCAU